RNAcentral lists this long non-coding RNA (280 nucleotides) under Salvia miltiorrhiza (redroot sage). RNAcentral describes it as "long non-coding RNA (SMIL_LNC012675)". The record is from RNAcentral. Lineage: Eukaryota; Viridiplantae; Streptophyta; Magnoliopsida; Lamiales; Lamiaceae.
GUUUGGUUUCGGCACGAGAAUUAAGGAAUUGUAGAUUACUGUUUUAAUUGUGUAGUUAAUAAAGUAUAAAAGUGAUAAAGUAGGAGAGAGAAUGUGAUAAAAGUGAUAAAGUAGGAGAGAAAAAAUAAUAAAAAUGAUAAAGUAGGAGAGAGAAGUUACCUUAUCUGAAAACGUGUCAAGAUUCGUGGGACGGGGGAGUAUCAUGAUAAAAGAAAAAGAUUUGGACAAUGAUUUUGACAGCACAUGAGAUAAUACUAGUAUUAUUCCCGUGCGAUGCACG